This 146-nucleotide microRNA precursor is filed under the name Canis lupus familiaris (dog). RNAcentral describes it as "miRNA (ENSCAFG00000050094.1)". The stretch from base 25 to 121 matches the Rfam family "mir-8813 microRNA precursor family". The record is from RNAcentral. Lineage: Eukaryota; Metazoa; Chordata; Mammalia; Carnivora; Canidae.
UCCCAGGUCGCUUUGCACAGACCCUGGUGACCUGAGGCUCCCCGGCUGUCCCUCUGUCCCAGCCCUUCCUGGCCUGCGGGGCUCAGGCUGAGUCCCAGUAAGGUCUGUGGGGUCCUGACCCUGGCAUCUGGCUGCCCCAGGAAGGC